This 76-nucleotide transfer RNA is filed under the name Plutella xylostella (diamondback moth). RNAcentral describes it as "tRNA-Glu". Lineage: Eukaryota; Metazoa; Arthropoda; Insecta; Lepidoptera; Plutellidae. The record is from RNAcentral.
AUCGGUGGUGGUAGCUCAGUCGAGUAAGCGCCCGCUUCUCACGCAAGAGAUGCGGGUUCGAAUCCCGGUGCUGACA